Molecule: ribosomal RNA, 484 nt
Filed under: uncultured bacterium
Lineage: Bacteria
Description: partial 16S ribosomal RNA
Rfam family: Bacterial small subunit ribosomal RNA
Source: RNAcentral
GACGAACGCUGGCGGCGUGCUUAACACAUGCAAGUCGAGCGAUGAAGCCGGAGCUUGCUCUGGUGAAUUAGUGGCGAACGGGUGAGUAACACGUGAGUAACCUGCCCUUGACUCUGGGAUAACUGCGGGAAACUGUAGCUAAUACCGGAUACGACCCUCGGAGGCAUCUCCUGGGGGUGGAAAGAAUUUCGGUCAAGGAUGGACUCGCGGCCUAUCAGCUAGUUGGUGAGGUAAAGGCUCACCAAGGCGACGACGGGUGGCCGGCCUGAGAGGGUGACCGGCCACACUGGGACUGAGACACGGCCCAGACUCCUACGGGAGGCAGCAGUGGGGAAUAUUGCACAAUGGGCGCAAGCCUGAUGCAGCAACGCCGCGUGAGGGAUGACGGCCUUCGGGUUGUAAACCUCUUUUAGCAGGGAAGAAGCGAAAGUGACGGUACCUGCAGAAAAAGCACCGGCUAACUACGUGCCAGCCGCCGCAGUAA